This 29-nucleotide non-coding RNA is filed under the name Cricetulus griseus (Chinese hamster). The record is from RNAcentral. Lineage: Eukaryota; Metazoa; Chordata; Mammalia; Rodentia; Cricetidae.
UUCCUCAUGCUAUCAGGAUUAAGAGACUC